CCUACGGGUGGCAGCAGAGAGGAAUAUUGGUCAAUGGACGAGAGUCUGAACCAGCCAAGUAGCGUGAAGGAUGACUGCCCUAUGGGUUGUAAACUUCUUUUAUAUGGGAAUAGAAUGUUCCACGUGUGGGAUUUUGUAUGUACCAUAUGAAUAAGGAUCGGCUAACUCCGUGCCAGCAGCCGCGGUAAUACGGAGGAUCCGAGCGUUAUCCGGAUUUAUUGGGUUUAAAGGGAGCGUAGGUGGAUUGUUAAGUCAGUUGUGAAAGUUUGCGGCUCAACCGUAAAAUUGCAGUUGAAACUGGCAGUCUUGAGUACAGUAGAGGUGGGCGGAAUUCGUGGUGUAGCGGUGAAAUGCUUAGAUAUCACGAAGAACUCCGAUUGCGAAGGCAGUUCACUGGACUGCAACUGACACUGAGGCUCGAAAGUGUGGGUAUCAAACAGGAUUAGAUACCCCAGUAGUC
RNAcentral lists this ribosomal RNA (460 nucleotides) under uncultured bacterium. RNAcentral's name for it is "partial 16S ribosomal RNA". It matches the Rfam family "Bacterial small subunit ribosomal RNA", at positions 338 to 795 of the family's 1533-position model. The record is from RNAcentral.